GGGCCCGUGGCCAAGCCUGGAUAGGGCACCAGCCUCCGGAGCUGGUGAUCCCGGGUUCAAAUCCCGGCGGGCCCGCCA
Molecule: transfer RNA, 78 nt
Filed under: Thermoprotei archaeon
Lineage: Archaea; Thermoproteati; Thermoproteota; Thermoprotei
Description: tRNA-Arg
Rfam family: tRNA
About the family: Transfer RNA (tRNA) molecules are approximately 80 nucleotides in length. Their secondary structure includes four short double-helical elements and three loops (D, anti-codon, and T loops).
Source: RNAcentral